Corvus hawaiiensis (hawaiian crow) is the source of this 1344-nucleotide long non-coding RNA. RefSeq lists it as uncharacterized. The transcript has 6 exons. NCBI's taxonomy places the organism in Eukaryota, Metazoa, Chordata, Aves, Passeriformes, Corvidae. The record is from RefSeq and is a predicted model, not a curated record.
AGAAACAGAAGAACAUAGAGGUUUUGCAAUUUGAGCUGGGCCACGCAGGAGCUCUUUGGCAGAGGAAGGCAGCCUCCUGAGAGAGCUGUACAACAGCCACACCGGGAGAGAACCCUGCACAGGACACAACAGCUUCUAAAAUGUGAUCAGGGACUACCAGAAAACACCACAACAAAUACCCCAAAACACAGGAAGGAGCCUGCCAGCUGCAGGAAGACAGCGAGGAUCAACAGAGCAACAUCCCAGGUAACUGUUAAGCUAAUGGGGAGCAUAGGGCAUUCCUGACAUCCUGCAAAUCUUCAACAAGGACCAUGGAAGAAGAGUGCAGAAACAGACAGUGAGAAGACAUUACUUCCUAUGUUAACUGAGGACAAGAAUGAAGCCACUCUCACCAGUGGAGCAGGUGGAGGAGGUGACACAUCUACUGCUGGAGCUCAGCCCCCUGUGUUUGUUACAGCUGGCAGAGGUGAGACAUCCACCUCACCAUCCCACCCAGAGAAGGAGAAAGAAGGUGAUUCCUGAUCAUCCUCACCAGCCCUGCAGCUGCCCCAUGGCCUCAAAAAGCCUUUCCCUCUCCCCACCCUCAAAAUGCAACCACUGCCCCAUUCCUCCCUCUCCCUGAGAGGAGAACUGUCAGUUGUGGUCUCUGAGGGAGAGGCGCUGCCCCAGCCAGCCUGGAAUAAAGCUACAGAGUGGAGAAUCAAGGCCCAGAUCCAGGCAGAUACUUUGUGGUAACCUAAGAUCCCAUGAACAUCUGGGGAGAUUUUUCAAAGGGUAGGGACAGGGGCUGUUGCUCCAUCCUGACCCGCUGGGGAGCUGCAUUCACACACACAGGUGGGCCAAACCAGCCCAAACAGGGUGGAAAUAGCCACACCACUGCUCCCAGUGCUGGCUGUGCAGCAGAUGGGACACAGCAUAUGGAAUGCCACGUGCCAAGAGCCCCAAGCCUGGAGCAGGCAGCAGCUCCAUGGAGAGCUGAGGGACCACAAGACCAGGUGCUGACUCAGUCCACGGCAAGGAGGCAUCUCCCAGAGCGGGAUGAGAUGGGAGCAGUAGCCUCGUCAAAACAGUGAAGUAGCAGGAAUCUCCUUGGAGAGCAACGGAUCACAGCACUUGUCAAGAUGAUUUCCAAAUCAAAGAUGACUUCCAAGGAGCAGCAAGGUCACUGGUCCAUCUGCCCAAUGACAGCACUGACAUUGCUAAAUGUCAUGAAGUGAAGCUGCCAGAGUUGCUCCAUGUGCUGCUUCCAGGUGAGAUGGCAACAGGAACAGCCAUAAUUCUUACCAAAGCAAAACAAGGCAAAAGAAUAUUUGCUAAUGUUUUUGGAUAUAGUUGUUAGGUCCC